UUAUUUGAAACAGGAUACAACCUCCAACACUGGGUAAAUAAAAGUGAUCUAGAUAAAGCGGGCCUAAAAGCAGCCACCUUUUAAAAAGCGUCACAGCUUAUUCUACUCCACACCCUAAUUCACUAAAUUCCCCUUAACCCUUCACUAGUACUGAACUGUUUUAUACUUUUAUAAAAAUAAUUAUGCUAGAACUAGUAACAAGAAAUUGCCCUUCUCCAAAUGCAAGUAUAGACCAUAUGACACCCGAUGAUAAUUAACGUAGAUACAUAAAAUAUAGUAACAAAUAUCUAGAAAACCCUAUAAUCCUUUACGUUAACCUAACACCAGAGCAUUACAGGAAAGAUUAAAAGAGAAAGAAGGAACUCGGCAAACUUCAGCCCCGCCUGUUUACCAAAAACAUCGCCUCUUGAUAUAUAUAUAAGAGGUCCCGCCUGCCCAGUGACAAAUGUUCAACGGCCGCGGUAACCUAACCGUGCUAAGGUAGCGUAAUCACUUGUUCUCUAAAUAAGGACUAGUAUCAACGGCAUCACGAGGGCUUUACUGUCUCCUUUCUCCAAUCAGUGAAACUGAUCUCCCCGUGAAGAAGCGGAGAUUUUAUU
This 599-nucleotide ribosomal RNA is filed under the name Hylarana malayana (Malayan dark-side frog). Its description in RNAcentral is "partial 16S ribosomal RNA". The stretch from base 341 to 591 matches the Rfam family "Archaeal large subunit ribosomal RNA", at positions 1787 to 2143 of the family's 2987-position model. Lineage: Eukaryota; Metazoa; Chordata; Amphibia; Anura; Ranidae. The record is from RNAcentral.